ACUCCUACGGGAGGCAGCAGUGGGGAAUAUUGCACAAUGGGGAAACCCUGAUGCAGCCAUGCCGCGUGUGUGAAGAAGGCCUUCGGUUGUAAAGCACUUUCAGUAGGGAGGAAGGUAGUGUAGUUAAUACCUGCAUUAUUUGACGUUACCUACAGAAGAAGCACCGGCUAACUCCGUGCCAGCAGCCGCGGUAAUACGGAGGGGUGCGAGCGUUAAUCGGAAUUACUGGGCGUAAAGCGCAUGCAGGCGGCCUGUUAAGUCAGAUGUGAAAGCCCGGGGGCUUAACCUCGGAAUUGCAUUUGAAACUGGCAGGCUAGAGUCUUGUAGAGGGGGUAGAAUUUCAGGUGUAGCGGUGAAAUGCGUAGAGAUCUGAAGGAAUACCAGUGGCGAAGGCGGCCCCCUGGACAAAGACUGACGCUCAGAUGCGAAAGCGUGGGGAGCAAACAGGAUUAGAUACCCUGGUAGGACAAG
RNAcentral lists this ribosomal RNA (471 nucleotides) under uncultured bacterium. RNAcentral's name for it is "bacterial SSU rRNA". It matches the Rfam family "Bacterial small subunit ribosomal RNA", at positions 335 to 799 of the family's 1533-position model. The record is from RNAcentral.